Molecule: non-coding RNA, 30 nt
Filed under: Rattus norvegicus (Norway rat)
Lineage: Eukaryota; Metazoa; Chordata; Mammalia; Rodentia; Muridae
Source: RNAcentral
UGUGGAAGCAAUAUAUCGAUGUGUUCAAGG